RNAcentral lists this small RNA (28 nucleotides) under Bombyx mori (domestic silkworm). RNAcentral's name for it is "ovarian small RNA-10521". Lineage: Eukaryota; Metazoa; Arthropoda; Insecta; Lepidoptera; Bombycidae. The record is from RNAcentral.
AAGAGAUGUGACUUUUUCUUACAAUUCA